RNAcentral lists this ribosomal RNA (324 nucleotides) under uncultured eukaryote. RNAcentral describes it as "partial 18S ribosomal RNA". It matches the Rfam family "Eukaryotic small subunit ribosomal RNA", at positions 1470 to 1796 of the family's 1831-position model. The record is from RNAcentral.
CCCUUAGAUGUUCUGGGCUGCACGCGCGCUACACUGAAGCUAUCAACACGUUUUCCCUCCCUGAGAAGGGCGGGUAACCUUUUGAAUCAGCUUCGUGGUAGGGAUCGGGGAUUGCAAUUGUUCCCCGUGAACCAGGAAUUCCUAGUAGACGCGAGUCAUAAGCUCGCAUCGAUUAAGUCCCUGCCCUUUGUACACACCGCCCGUCGCUACUACCGAUUGAACGUUUUAGUGAGGCAUUUGGACCGACGCAUCUCAGUUUAACCGCUGGUUUGUGUUGGAAAGACUUCCAAACUUGAGCGUUUAGAGGAAGUAAAAGUCGUAACA